AGAAUUUUGCUUGAUAAUGCAUUGUGCCAAUGUCCUAACCUUACCUGAACGAUAUAAAGUGCAAUCACGGGACAGUGACACCGUUUUUCCCCAAAAUUGGAAUUAAUAAUGUGUUUCUUACGUGUGCGUCAGGUAUUCACGAAUGGAUCAAAUCUUAUUACGCUUUCCCCUAAAAUUAACAUGUGAUUCGGAACACUGGUGGGGGAUUUGCCUCUACAUACAUAGUUAAAGCUUUCAGUAUGUAUAUAGGAGCCUGCGUAUACACAUAUACAAUUCAAUGCUUACACUAGCGCUUCUAUCGGUGGCGUCAUGAAAUUACCGUUGGCUGCAUGCGUUCCUGUUGAAAAAAUUCCUCACGGGCGAAAGUCAAGGAGGGGCUUUGUGAGACAACCCGCGCGAAACUCUUUUCAACGUAGGGAGAAUGGUAGCUUCCUGGUAGAUAUGUUUCUCGGGUAAUUCGAGGCUUGCAUGCGGGAUGUGAGCACAAAUCACGUGCUUAUUAAGAAUUAAUACGUGCAUAUUAAGAAGACAACAUCGGAAACGGUUGAGUUGUUUGAAGAUAUUUUUAAUAGAAAAACUAUAUUU
This is a long non-coding RNA of Bombus impatiens (common eastern bumble bee), 585 nucleotides long. RefSeq lists it as uncharacterized. The record is from RefSeq and is a predicted model, not a curated record. The transcript is spliced from 3 exons. NCBI's taxonomy places the organism in Eukaryota, Metazoa, Arthropoda, Insecta, Hymenoptera, Apidae.